UACGAAGGGGGCUAGCGUUGCUCGGAAUCACUGGGCGUAAAGCGCACGUAGGCGGAUCUUUAAGUCGGGGGUGAAAUCCUGGAGCUCAACUCCAGAACUGCCUUCGAUACUGAAGAUCUCGAGUCCGGGAGAGGUGAGUGGAACUGCGAGUGUAGAGGUGAAAUUCGUAGAUAUUAGGAAGAACACCAGUGGCGAAGGCGGCUCACUGGUCCGGUACUGACGCUGAGGUGCGAAAGCGUGGGGAGCAAACAGG
Molecule: ribosomal RNA, 253 nt
Filed under: uncultured bacterium
Lineage: Bacteria
Description: partial 16S ribosomal RNA
Rfam family: Bacterial small subunit ribosomal RNA
Source: RNAcentral